RNAcentral lists this long non-coding RNA (205 nucleotides) under Lepisosteus oculatus (spotted gar). RNAcentral's name for it is "lncRNA (ENSLOCG00000021290.1)". The record is from RNAcentral. Lineage: Eukaryota; Metazoa; Chordata; Actinopteri; Semionotiformes; Lepisosteidae.
GGCUAUAAUAUUGGCGAAAGACAAUGUCAAAUGACCUCAGACAAGUAAAUCAUCAGCUUCCGAGUGCAUCAUUGACACCCUUCAUCACAACCAUUAAAAGGUGCAGAGUUUUAUAAGGAAGGAAAUGACAGAAAAACAAAUAAAUUCAGCAGUUGGAGUAUUAUUCAGGUUGAAGAAAUAAGAAGACCUUAAAGUCUGACUUUAC